CGAAAUCUGGCAAUUAUCUUGAACCUCUAGAUUAGGUUGUUGGAACACAUCCUGCUCCCUAGAGUAACAUGAGUGGUCACAUGGUUGAGUGCAAUGGGGGUGAGUGUUACUGGUAAUUUUCUUCUAGGAUUUGAACUUCCUCUUCUUCUCCACCAACUCAUGGCGCUUGUCCUCCAGUAGUAUCACCUUAUCCACAAGUUGCUGAAAGUUAGGGAAAUUGUGGGCCACUCACUGAUACAUAAUAAGUCCAUUCAGACCUUCUAGAAAGUGGUCUUGCUUCUUCUCAUCAUUAUCCACCUCUUCUGGCGCAUAGCGAGAUAGCUGUCUGAACUUAU
RNAcentral lists this long non-coding RNA (335 nucleotides) under Setaria viridis. RNAcentral describes it as "long non-coding RNA (SVIR_LNC008159)". The record is from RNAcentral. Lineage: Eukaryota; Viridiplantae; Streptophyta; Magnoliopsida; Poales; Poaceae.